This 1072-nucleotide long non-coding RNA is filed under the name Musa acuminata (dwarf banana). Its description in RNAcentral is "long non-coding RNA (MACU_LNC007023)". Lineage: Eukaryota; Viridiplantae; Streptophyta; Magnoliopsida; Zingiberales; Musaceae. The record is from RNAcentral.
UAAGUAGUUACAGAAUAGAACUAGUGCCACCGAGCCUGAUGCCGGGUAUGACCUGAAGUCCUAUAUUGGUACUAAGUAAAGAAUAGAACAGGUAAGGACAAGAAUGCAACCGGGGAGUCCAAGCCUGAUAGUCGCUAGUAAGCCUACCAAUCAUUAGUCAAAGAAUGGCACUGAUGGGAGUAAGACUGGCCAAGCAACUACUAACGACCAAUUUCAAUACUAUUGAAGCGUCAAAAGCAUGAUGAAGAGACUAAGAAUCUUCGGUUAGCUAACAAUAAGAAAGAGGAGCGUAGCAGCUCGAAGGAGGAGAAGAAAGAGGAGCGUAGCAGCUCGAAGGAGGAGCGAAAGCAGUUCGACAUCAAGGAUAAGAGUCAAGCUAAGAAAGAAUCCGAAUAUGUUCAGACUAUUGCUAGUCGUCUUCAGUGAUAUAUUGAAAAACAGCGUUCAGAGAUAUUCAAUCGAUGUCUUCUUAUAAGCUUCCUGAGGAAUAAGUUAGAAGCACUCUGACUAAAUAAUCAAUGGUACCCCAACCUAUUCUGGGCAAUAACCCUAACAAGACUCACAAAGGUAAGAAGAACAGAAACCUAACAAAAAACAGAAAGUGCAAAAAGAAAGAAUAAGAAAAAAACGAAAGAUGAAGCUAUCCACCUAAGACGAGCCUACUAAGAAAAGAAGCUAUCAACCUAAGACGAGCCUACUAAGAAAAGAAAGAAGACUCAAAAGAAAAGGUCAAGGUGCCAAGAAAGUAACCUGCUCAAUAGAAUCCUGCCUAUCCCGAUCAUGACGUAGUAAAAAAAGAGAGAAGAGUGAGAAUACUGGAUUUCUUUCCCACUCCUAUUGCUCCUAGUGGUAGCUUGGUGGUAGUGCUCUGAAAAUGAAUAUAGUUGACUUACCCACUGGACUACUAGACUCAACUAGCCCCCCUGAAAGUAUAUACUAAACAUGGUACUACUAAACAAGGUACUCUUGCGUAAGAAAGGAAUUCCACUAACAAGUCAUAAAGUAAGUCAGAUCUGAUGCUGCCGAGCCUGGGGAACAAGAAUGGCUCUGUUGUGCAGCGAUGGGGAACUCU